Molecule: ribosomal RNA, 523 nt
Filed under: uncultured bacterium
Lineage: Bacteria
Description: bacterial SSU rRNA
Rfam family: Bacterial small subunit ribosomal RNA
Source: RNAcentral
UGGGGGAUAUUGCACAAUGGAGGAAACUCUGAUGCAGCAACGCCGCGUGAGGGAAGAAGGUCUUCGGAUUGUAAACCUUUGUCCUUGGUGACGAUAAUGACGGUAGCCAAGGAGGAAGCUCCGGCUAACUACGUGCCAGCAGCCGCGGUAAUACGUAGGGGGCAAGCGUUAUCCGGAUUCAUUGGGCGUAAAGAGCUCGUAGGCGGCCCGUUAGGUCAGGAGUCAAAUUCGGGGGCUCAACCCCCGCGCGCUUCUGAUACCGGCGGGCUUGAGUUUGGUAGGGGAAGGUGGAAUUCCCAGUGUAGCGGUGGAAUGCGCAGAUAUUGGGAAGAACACCGGUGGCGAAGGCGGCCUUCUGGGCCAUAACUGACGCUGAGGAGCGAAAGCUAGGGGAGCGAACAGGAUUAGAUACCCUGGUAGUCCUAGCCGUAAACGAUGAUUACUAGGUGUGGGGGGUCUGACCCCUUCCGUGCCGGAGUUAACACAAUAAGUAAUCCACCUGGGAAGUACGAUCGCAAGAUUG